Molecule: long non-coding RNA, 847 nt
Filed under: Felis catus (domestic cat)
Lineage: Eukaryota; Metazoa; Chordata; Mammalia; Carnivora; Felidae
Description: lncRNA (ENSFCAG00000046246.2)
Source: RNAcentral
UUUCUCUCAAAAUAAAUAAAUAAACUUCAAGAACAUAAAAAAAAUAAAGUAAAAAUUGCCUAAUGUUAAACACUGUGCUUCAGAACUCUGGAACUCUCACUCUUAAUCAUUGACUAUAAGUCCUCAUAAAGGCACUUUAGAAGAAAAUCUCCCAGUGUGAAUAUACAUUAUUCUACUGAUUGAAAAGUGUCUCGUGUAACAGAUGAAAAAGGGAUCUCAACAAAGCAUAUCUUUUUGAAAUUUCAUAGUAGGAAUGAGGAGUAGUAACUAAAAGCUUCAGAAAGAAUAAACAUCACCUACUCAGAAAUGGAGAAUCACAUGACGUAAGGCAUUUUAAACUAAGUUUCAUUACUAGAAAGAAGAUCACAGAGAACAUUCUCAAAUUUGGGAGAAGUAAAUUUUAGCCUAGAAUUUUAUGCCCAGUCUUUUAAGCAGUAGACGACAGAAUGAAGACAUUUACAAACAAGUAUGAUCUGUGAGAACUUACCUGCUAUGAAUUCUUUUUUAGGGAGCUCCUUCCGAGUGAACUGCAGCAAAAGCAAAUGAGCAAACCAAGAGAGAAGACAGCGGAUUUGGGAAACCAUGACUGAGAUACAAGAGUGUGAUAAUACCAGAAUCAUGUCCAGGCCCUACAUCCUGAGGAAUCCCGAGAUCUCUGAGCCAAGACUGAAGCCAAAUAAGGAAAAGCUUCAGGAGAAGGUCAUUAAGGAAAAAGCCCAAGUCCAAGGAGAGGCAGAGAUUCUGGGUAUGGGUGACUGCCCUGAAGACCGAAGUCUCCCUCACGUGGGCUGCUCAAAAAUCCAGACUUAGGGGAACAGACAGUAUUCGCAGGUGGAUUUCAUUACAG